RNAcentral lists this ribosomal RNA (397 nucleotides) under uncultured bacterium. Its description in RNAcentral is "bacterial SSU rRNA". It matches the Rfam family "Bacterial small subunit ribosomal RNA", at positions 521 to 916 of the family's 1533-position model. The record is from RNAcentral.
UAAUACAGAGGUCUCAAGCGUUGUUCGGAAUCACUGGGCGUAAAGGGUGCGUAGGUGGCGUGGAAAGUCAGAUGUGAAAGCCCGGGGCUCAACCUCGGAAUAGCAUCCGAUACUCCCAUGCUAGAGUACUGAAGAGGUGACUAGAAUUCUCGGUGUAGCAGUGAAAUGCGUAGAUAUCGAGAGGAAUACCAACGGCGAAGGCAGGUCACUGGGCAGUUACUGACACUGAGGCACGAAGGCCAGGGGAGCAAACGGGAUUAGAUACCCCGGUAGUCCUGGCAGUAAACGGUGCACGUUUGGUGUGGGCGCAAUCGACCGCGUCCGCGCCGGAGCUAACGCGUUAAACGUGCCGCCUGGGAAGUACGGUCGCAAGAUUAAAACUUAAAUGAAUUGACGG